RNAcentral lists this ribosomal RNA (497 nucleotides) under uncultured bacterium. RNAcentral describes it as "partial 16S ribosomal RNA". It matches the Rfam family "Bacterial small subunit ribosomal RNA", at positions 28 to 507 of the family's 1533-position model. The record is from RNAcentral.
GAUGAACGCUGGCGGCGUGCCUAAUACAUGCAAGUCGAGCGAACGGACGAGAAGCUUGCUUCUCUGAUGUUAGCGGCGGACGGGUGAGUAACACGUGGAUAACCUACCUAUAAGACUGGGAUAACUUCGGGAAACCGGAGCUAAUACCGGAUAAUAUUUUGAACCGCAUGGUUCAAAAGUGAAAGACGGUCUUGCUGUCACUUAUAGAUGGAUCCGCGCUGCAUUAGCUAGUUGGUAAGGUAACGGCUUACCAAGGCAACGAUGCAUAGCCGACCUGAGAGGGUGAUCGGCCACACUGGAACUGAGACACGGUCCAGACUCCUACGGGAGGCAGCAGUAGGGAAUCUUCCGCAAUGGGCGAAAGCCUGAUGGAGCAACGCCGCGUGAGUGAUGAAGGUCUUCGGAUCGUAAAACUCUGUUAUUAGGGAAGAACAUAUGUGUAAGUAACUGUGCACAUCUUGACGGUACCUAAUCAGAAAGCCACGGCUAACUACGUG